Molecule: long non-coding RNA, 967 nt
Organism: Physella acuta
Lineage: Eukaryota; Metazoa; Mollusca; Gastropoda; Physidae
Source: RefSeq, a predicted model, not a curated record
CAAUUUUAUGUUUACCAGAACACUCAGACAAACUCGUGGAAUACAACAACACUAUUUAUAGAAGAUACAGCCGAGUAAUUUUUAAUUUAGUGUACUAGCACGGGAAACGACAAUCUAUAGUGAGAGAUAUCAUAAACCCGAUAUUAAUCUCCUUAAAUCAAAAUGCCAAUUCUGGUUGAAAGACGAUGUCAGGAAAACAUUUAAAGAAAUGAUGCUACAAUUGGAGGACACAACUAGUUCAACACUAGAACAAAUGUCUUCAUUGUUAGCUACUUGAGUGUGCAGUUAUUAUUUUUCAUGUUUUCUUUUAAUAUAAACCGGUGCCCACCUUUAUGGAUCAAAGAUUUCAGGACAGACAGAAGCCAACAUUUCCUCCAUCUAUACAACAAUUAUCAGCACAAAUGUUGUAGCUUCAAUAGAGCCGUCACAACAAGACCACAGAGGACAAAACAUGCAGCAAGUUUGUUAUAGUCUCUGCUAAACAAGCUAGACGUCACUGACAUGACUACUGGUUCACUAGAAAGAAAAUAUCUCCAGGAAGAGGAAAACAUCAACACAUUCUAUGAUAAACUCACACGUUUUGGUGGCAAGCUAAAAUCUCAAGGAGAGAAAUAAAACAUCAAGAUAGACGAAUAGAUGAGUUAGAGAAAAACAUGGAACUGUUAAGAAGAAAUCUAAAACAAAAAGAAGAAUGGAGAAGACAACAGUCUCAUAACUUAAAUCAAAUGAUGACAUCAAUACAAGAAAAAAAAUCAAGUUCUGGUAACAGAGUGGAGCAAUGUGUCAAAUACUAGCAAAAAGAUUUUCACAAUUUGAGUCUUUACAUAAUGUCUUCAAUCAACUGAUGAAAGAAAGAGAAGGAAACUUUGAUCAAAGCUGCCGAUGGAGUACGAGGAAAUCUGCAGUUCUCGAGCUGGUUAGUCAAGCUAAAGUUUUUUUUUUUGACAAUGAAAUAUCUAAACAAGAU